AGAGUUUGAUCCUGGCUCAGGACGAACGCUGGCGGCACGCUUAACACAUGCAAGUCGAACGAGAGAAGAGGAGCUUGCUUUUCUGAUCUAGUGGCGGACGGGUGAGUAACACGUGAGCAAUCUGCCUUUCAGAGGGGGAUACCGAUUGGAAACGAUCGUUAAUACCGCAUAACAUAAUUGAACCGCAUGAUUUGAUUAUCAAAGAUUUAUCGCUGAAAGAUGAGCUCGCGUCUGAUUAGCUAGUUGGUAAGGUAACGGCUUACCAAGGCGACGAUCAGUAGCCGGACUGAGAGGUUGAUCGGCCACAUUGGGACUGAGACACGGCCCAGACUCCUACGGGAGGCAGCAGUGGGGAAUAUUGCACAAUGGAGGAAACUCUGUUGCAGCGAUGCCGCGUGAGGGAAGAAGGUUUUAGGAUUGUAAACCUCUGUCUUCAGGGACGAAAAAAGACGGUACCUGAGGAGGAAGCUCCGGCUAACUACGUGCCAGCAGCCGCGGUAAUACGUAGGGAGCGAGCGUUGUCCGGAAUUACUGGGUGUAAAGGGAGCGUAGGCGGGAUCGCAAGUCAGAUGUGAAAACUAUGGGCUUAACCCAUAAACUGCAUUUGAAACUGUGGUUCUUGAGUGAAGUAGAGGUAAGCGGAAUUCCUAGUGUAGCGGUGAAAUGCGUAGAUAUUAGGAGGAACAUCAGUGGCGAAGGCGGCUUACUGGGCUUUAACUGACGCUGAGGCUCGAAAGCGUGGGGAGCAAACAGGAUUAGAUACCCUGGUAGUCCACGCCGUAAACGAUGAUUACUAGGUGUGGGGGGACUGACCCCUUCCGUGCCGCAGCAAACGCAAUAAGUAAUCCACCUGGGGAGUACGACCGCAAGGUUGAAACUCAAAGGAAUUGACGGGGGCCCGCACAAGCAGUGGAGUAUGUGGAUUAAUUCGAAGCAACGCGAAGAACCUUACCAGGUCUUGACAUCGUAUGCAUAGCUCAGAGAUGAGUGAAAUCUCUUCGGAGACAUAUAGACAGGUGGUGCAUGGUUGUCGUCAGCUCGUGUCGUGAGAUGUUGGGUUAAGUCCCGCAACGAGCGCAACCCUUACUGUUAGUUGCUACGCAAGAGCACUCUAGCAGGACUGCCGUUGACAAAACGGAGGAAGGUGGGGAUGACGUCAAAUCAUCAUGCCCCUUAUGACCUGGGCCUCACACGUACUACAAUGGCUGUCAACAGAGGGAAGCAAAGCCGCGAGGUGGAGCGAACCCCUAAAAGCAGUCUUAGUUCGGAUUGUAGGCUGCAACCCGCCUACAUGAAGUCGGAAUUGCUAGUAAUCGCAGAUCAGCAUGCUGCGGUGAAUACGUUCCCGGGCCUUGUACACACCGCCCGUCACGCCAUGGGAGUCGGUAACACCCGAAGCCUGUAGUCUAACCGCAAGGAGGACGCAGUCGAAGGUGGGAUUGAUGACUGGGGUGAAGUCGUAACAAGGUA
Molecule: ribosomal RNA, 1470 nt
Filed under: metagenome
Description: bacterial SSU rRNA
Rfam family: Bacterial small subunit ribosomal RNA
Source: RNAcentral